This 117-nucleotide ribosomal RNA is filed under the name Danio rerio (zebrafish). The record is from RNAcentral. Lineage: Eukaryota; Metazoa; Chordata; Actinopteri; Cypriniformes; Danionidae.
UUCUACAGCCAGAUCACCCUGCAGCCCAAGAGCGCUCACUCACUGAAGCUAAGCAGGGCUGAGCCUGGUCAGUGUCUGGAUGGGAGACCACAUGAGAAAGCUAGGCUGCUGUUGGCA